Molecule: long non-coding RNA, 1451 nt
Filed under: Rhagoletis pomonella (apple maggot)
Lineage: Eukaryota; Metazoa; Arthropoda; Insecta; Diptera; Tephritidae
Description: uncharacterized LOC118750873
Source: RNAcentral
AAAAUUGCGUAUCUCGAUUCUUACUUCCCUCGGCAAAACCUACCUGAAAAAUAACAUGACUUACCAGUAAUGCGAUUCUGAAUCUAAUUUUAACCACAUUUCACGUUGUUAUCUCUAGUUAACAACUUUUUUUGGGGUUAAGUGAUUGUGUAUCACCUUUAACCAUAUUUGUUAUUGUUUAGUGUUAACAAACGCAGUCAGCUGUUUGGUGACAAUAUUUUUUGUGGUUAAGCUAACAGGAUCUAGUUUUUCGUUGUUAAGCUGUUGUUUGCAAAUUUUGCUGUGAAAUUAAAUUGAAGAAAUUUAUAAAAUUGUGUUAAAAAAUGGCGUUUGCAUACAUUGCAUCAUAUUUAUAUGAUAAUGAUAAUGAUAAGAAUUGACCGGCGUAGGCUUCGCGAAAUCGACAACCCAUUCGAACUAACGCCAAGGGAGUUCCGGAGGCUAUAUAGACUUAGUCCCGGCAUGGCUGAAAAUGUGGUGUCGCAACUUGAUAACCAGUUACGAGGAUCACGAAUAACAGUGCUAUCGACCGAAAAGUUCUAGCGGCUCUAAGGUUUUAUGUCACUGGAUGCCAUCAACGCCCAGUAGGAGAACAGUGGGGCAUUUCCAUGAGCCAAACAUCGAUAAGCUGUUGCAUACACCGUGUGACUGACGCGAUCAACAAUUCAAUGUUUACCACUAAAGUGAAGUUCCCUAUGACGCAACUGGAGUGCCAAGCCGCAAAGGAAAUUUUUGCGUCUGCACCUCCACCAUUUGUAGCAGGAACUAUCGGUGCAAUCGACUGCACUCAUGUCUCUAUUUUGGCUCCCAAAAAUAACGAAUCAAAUUAAGUCAAUCACCAUGGGUACCAUUCGAUCAACGUGCAAAUGAUAUGUGACCCAAAUCUUAAAAUUUUAAACGUAAAUGCAAAAUUUCCGGGAGCACGGCAUGAUUCAUUUAUUUGGAGCUUUUCUGCAGCGCGUCGGGUCAUGCAGCGGUCGUUUGAAAAUGGAAAUCACAACACAUUUUUGAUUGGCGAUUCUGGAUAUCCGUUGGAGCCAUGGCUGAUGACACCUCUAUCUAACGAGCCAGAAGGAACGCCAAAGUUUCGGUACAACGAGGCACUAUGUAAAGCGCGUAACCCGAUCGAGAGACUCUUUGGCGUCCUUAAAGGUACAUAGCGGUGCUUAUCACAGCAAAGAGUUCUUUUGUAUGACCCCGGUUUUGCUGGCCGAGUAGUCAACGCGUGCGCAACAUUACAUAAUCUUCGUUUGUGCGAUCAAACAACCGAUUUCGACGAUAGGGUUGUUUAUGAUGCCGAAACACUAAGCACUGAUAACAAUUCUGAAGCACCUUCUUCAAUAGGAAAACGUGUCCAACAACGAAUUAUAGCAAAUUUUUUUUAAAUAUUCACUUUACUAAAUAUAUAUGCCAUCAACGAUCGUCUCGAUGGUAGGCCAGCCAUCAGCCGA